AGUCGAGCGGCAGCACGGGUACUUGUACCUGGUGGCGAGCGGCGGAGGGAGAGUAAUACCUAGGAAUCUGCCUGGUAGUGGGGGAUAAGUUCGGAAACGGACGCUAAUACCGCAUACGUCCUACGGGAGAAAGCAGGGGACCUUCGGGCCUUGCGCUAUCAGAUGCCCCUAGGUCGGAUUAGCUUGUUGGUGAGGUAAUGGCUCACCAAGGCUACGAUCCGUAACUGGUCUGAGAGGAUGAUCAGUCACACUGGAACUGAGACACGGUCCAGACUCCUACGGGAGGCAGCAGUGGGGAAUAUUGGACAAUGGGCGAAAGCCUGAUCCAGCCAUGCCGCGUGUGUGAAGAAGGUCUUCGGAUUGUAAAGCACUUUAAGUUGGGAGGAAGGGCAGUUACCUAAUACGUAAUUGUUUUGACGUUACCGACAGAAUAAGCACCGGCUAACUCUGUGCCAGCAGCCGCGGUAAUACAGAGGGUGCAAGCGUUAAUCGGAAUUACUGGGCGUAAAGCGCGCGUAGGUGGUUCGUUAAGUUGGAUGUGAAAUCCCCGGGCUCAACCUGGGAACUGCAUUCAAAACUGACGGGCUAGAGUAUGGUAGAGGGUGGUGGAAUUUCCUGUGUAGCGGUGAAAUGCGUAGAUAUAGGAAGGAACACCAGUGGCGAAGGCGACCACCUGGACUGAUACUGACACUGAGGUGCGAAAGCGUGGGGAGCAAA
This 717-nucleotide ribosomal RNA is filed under the name Pseudomonas sp. Its description in RNAcentral is "bacterial SSU rRNA". It matches the Rfam family "Bacterial small subunit ribosomal RNA", at positions 60 to 772 of the family's 1533-position model. Lineage: Bacteria; Pseudomonadati; Pseudomonadota; Gammaproteobacteria; Pseudomonadales; Pseudomonadaceae. The record is from RNAcentral.